This 127-nucleotide small RNA is filed under the name Marmota monax (woodchuck). The record is from RNAcentral. Lineage: Eukaryota; Metazoa; Chordata; Mammalia; Rodentia; Sciuridae.
GCCAGGUACAGUGGCGCAUGCCUGUAAUUCCAGCAGCUCGGGAGGCUGAGGCAGGAGGAUCAUGAGUUCAAUGCCAACCUCAGCAACUGCGAGGCGCUAAGCAAUUCAGUGAGAGACUUUGUCUCUA